GGAGAGAUGGCAGAGUGGUCGAUUGCGGCGGUCUUGAAAACCGCUGAACCGCGAGGUUCCGGGGGUUCGAAUCCCUCUCUCUCCGCCA
Molecule: transfer RNA, 88 nt
Filed under: Stenotrophobium sp.
Lineage: Bacteria; Pseudomonadati; Pseudomonadota; Gammaproteobacteria; Nevskiales; Nevskiaceae
Also listed under: 1 other name
Description: tRNA-Ser
Rfam family: tRNA
About the family: Transfer RNA (tRNA) molecules are approximately 80 nucleotides in length. Their secondary structure includes four short double-helical elements and three loops (D, anti-codon, and T loops).
Source: RNAcentral